UACAGAGGGUGCAAGCGUUAAUCGGAAUUACUGGGCGUAAAGCGUGCGUAGACGGUUAUGUAAGUCGGGUGUGAAAGCCCCGGGCUCAACCUGGGAAUGCCAUUCGAGACUGCAUAGCUAGGGUGCGGAAGAGGGAAGCGGAAUUUCCGGUGUAGCGGUGAAAUGCGUAGAGAUUGGGAAGAACACCAGUGGCGAAGGCGGCUAUCUGGACGGUUUCUGACACUAAGACACGAAAGCGUGGGGAGCAAACAGG
RNAcentral lists this ribosomal RNA (253 nucleotides) under uncultured bacterium. RNAcentral describes it as "partial 16S ribosomal RNA". It matches the Rfam family "Bacterial small subunit ribosomal RNA", at positions 524 to 776 of the family's 1533-position model. The record is from RNAcentral.